Molecule: long non-coding RNA, 353 nt
Organism: Aedes aegypti (yellow fever mosquito)
Lineage: Eukaryota; Metazoa; Arthropoda; Insecta; Diptera; Culicidae
Exons: 2
Source: RefSeq, a predicted model, not a curated record
UCAUGUAUUCAAUCCAAUGAAUGCUAUGGGAUUGGCAGAUGUGAAAAUUAAGUCAUUGUACUAUAGCGAUAUCUUCGUAAUGGCGAAUUUGAAUCUCAAAGAAUCAUCGUGGAGGGUUUGGAAGAAAAUUUUAUUCCAACGCGACGUGAAUCACAGAAUUAUGUUUGGGAUAAUCAAAGAAAAACAUCAACUUUAUUCCUAGCGGAUGUCAACGGAACAAGGUCGGAAAGAACAAACCAACCAGAAGAAUUCAGAGCUAAUAGAAUCGGUUAUCCAAUAUAAUCCAAUGUAACAUCGCUUAUUCACACAAAUGCCAAUAAUGUAUCAAAUAAACAGAUUUUUCAAAAUUAUAA